Molecule: non-coding RNA, 463 nt
Organism: Oryza sativa Japonica Group (Japanese rice)
Lineage: Eukaryota; Viridiplantae; Streptophyta; Magnoliopsida; Poales; Poaceae
Source: RefSeq, a predicted model, not a curated record
UGGGAAACUUGAACGCGUCGUUGAUUUCUACUUCAGUUCAUUGUUGUGGAACUGCCAUUAUUUCCUCUGUUUAUUCCUACGGAAUUGUUGUUAUGCCUGAUCCAGUUUAUAGCGGCAGAAUUAUUGUUGUUAGCCCAAAAUGCAAAAUGAAAAAUGUUUGUAUAUUGAUGUCAUGCUUCCUGUUCUGAACAAGUACCUGUUCAAGUUUAUAUAGUACCUCAGUUCUGCUUCUGCAGAAUUAAUGCACAAUGAUUUAAACAUUGCUCCUUUGAUUCAAUAUAUUAGCAUCCAGACUGAGCCCUGGGGCUCCUCUUCAGAUGCUGCACUGCAUAGGAUUGAUGUUACCAUACUUACCAGAGAAGAACCUUUCUUGGUGUCAAUAAUUGGCUAGGUUUAUGCAAAAGAAUGCAUUAAUCUGCUGCAACCAAGACUGAAAACCAUGUGUACCAUGUGUGAGAUAAAA